GUUAACACGGAAUUUCAAGUAUUUGUAUCACUAAUGAACAUAAUAUUGUAAAUCGAUACGUUUUGGAAAUUUUCCACCCUAAUACGAGUAUUGUAAGGGAUAAAAAAAUAUUGUAUAUACAAAAUUUGAUACUACUAGCUCUUCGCUCCCAGCUUCGCCGGUAUGGAUAACACUAAAUUGCGUGGGCGAAGAUGCGUGUUCAGCAGGGCAAUGCAUAUAAUUUCCGGAAAUUAUUUUUACAUCGAGCUUCGUCAAAACCGCUUGAGUGGUAUGAGUUUGAUAACGUAAGAGAUAUGGCAAAUAUUUUCUUCGGUCUUCGCGAGAUAUUGGCACAAUUAAAGCUGCUGUCAACUUUUAAUCUCGCCAUUUUUAAAAUUUCAUUACUUCACAAAUAAACAGAGCUUCUUUCGUUUUAAUAAUAUUAUUUUAAUUAAAAAUUCUAACAUCUAAUCUAUAUAAAAGGAAAUAAAGAAUAUUUUUAAACGA
Bombyx mori (domestic silkworm) is the source of this 486-nucleotide long non-coding RNA. RefSeq lists it as uncharacterized. The transcript is spliced from 2 exons. The record is from RefSeq and is a predicted model, not a curated record. NCBI's taxonomy places the organism in Eukaryota, Metazoa, Arthropoda, Insecta, Lepidoptera, Bombycidae.